CCCACAAAGUCACCAGUAUUGGUUCUUGUUUGAAUCUCAUCACAUGGGCAUUAAAAUACGGCCUUUGAACAGUUACAUGUUUGCUAUGAUUACUGCUAAUAACGCAGUGCUCCAAGCAAUAGGAGGUUGGGGAAGAGCGCUUCUGCAGGGCUGCAAGAGCUUGGCCAAAGGAUCUUCCCUUGCUCCAAAGUAAUCUCAUCCCACCCAGCUGCCAUCUCUGAAGUGCUGCAUCUGGUCGGACGUAUCUGCUUUUCCUAGAGGUGAUUCAUGAGCUAGUGAUCUUUGUAUUAAGUGCGUGCACAGGAAAAACCUGACCACUGGCCCUCUGAUGAAGGGAAAGGACCUGUUACAUGUAUGGAGACUCUCUCUGCCUGCAGGAGUGAAAUACGACUGGAGGCAGAGCCGGUCUCAAGCUGAGGAGCAAGGGAGCAUGGCAGGUCUUGCUUACCAGCGCUGCUGGAUUACUCCUGCUGGGCAGGGGGAGAAGGCCUGAAGAAGAGUGGAGCACUUUGGGCAAAGAUAUGGAAGUGCCCCCCCUCCCCACUGCCCGCUGCCGCAUAGAUUGUAAGAGCAGAGCAGCAUUUCUGGGCUGCUGGAGUGGGAGGGGAUUGGAAGCAGUGUGAUUCAUUAGCUCCUGCCUUCUCCCGGAGGGCUCUUCUGCUUUUUAAGCCUGGGCUUGGAAGAGAUGGGAAU
RNAcentral lists this long non-coding RNA (693 nucleotides) under Apteryx owenii (little spotted kiwi). RNAcentral's name for it is "lncRNA (ENSAOWG00000009206.1)". Lineage: Eukaryota; Metazoa; Chordata; Aves; Apterygiformes; Apterygidae. The record is from RNAcentral.